Molecule: ribosomal RNA, 253 nt
Filed under: uncultured bacterium
Lineage: Bacteria
Description: partial 16S ribosomal RNA
Rfam family: Bacterial small subunit ribosomal RNA
Source: RNAcentral
GACGAACCGUGCGAACGUUAUUCGGAAUCACUGGGCUUAAAGGGCGCGUAGGCGGGCUCGCAAGUCAGGGGUGAAAUCCCACGGCCCAACCGUGGAAGUGCCUCUGAUACUGCGGGCCUCGAGGGAGGUAGGGGCGUGCGGAACUCAGGGUGGAGCGGUGAAAUGCGUAGAUAUCCUGAGGAACACCGGUGGCGAAAGCGGCGCGCUGGACCUCUUCUGACGCUGAGGCGCGAAAGCCAGGGGAGCAAACGGG